ACCGGCAAACGGGUGCGGAACACGUACGCAACCUUCCUCUCAGCGGGGAAUAGCCCAGAGAAAUUUGGAUUAAUACCCCAUCGGAUCGUAGAGUGGCACCACUUAGCGAUUAAAGCUUCGGCACUGAAAGAUGGGCGUGCGUCUGAUUAGGUAGUUGGUGAGGUAACGGCUCACCAAGCCGACGAUCAGUAACUGGCGUGAGAGCGCGACCAGUCACACGGGCACUGAGACACGGGCCCGACUCCUACGGGAGGCAGCAGUAAGGAAUAUUGGUCAAUGGACGGAAGUCUGAACCAGCCAUGCCGCGUGGAGGAUGAAGGUCCUCUGGAUUGUAAACUUCUUUUAUCUGGGAAGAAAUGCCGAUUUUCUAAUUGGUUUGACGGUACCAGAUGAAUAAGCACCGGCUAACUCCGUGCCAGCAGCCGCGGUAAUACGGAGGGUGCAAGCGUUAUCCGGAUUCACUGGGUUUAAAGGGUGCGUAGGCGGAAUUGUAAGUCCGUGGUGAAAUCUCCAAGCUUAACUUGGAAACUGCCAUGGAUACUAUAGUUCUUGAAUGUUGUGGAGGUUUGCGGAAUAUGUCAUGUAGCGGUGAAAUGCUUAGAUAUGACAUAGAACACCGAUUGCGAAGGCAGCAGGCUACACAAAUAUUGACGCUGAGGCACGAAAGCGUGGGGAUCAAACAGGAUUAGAUACCCUGGUAGUCCACGCCCU
RNAcentral lists this ribosomal RNA (711 nucleotides) under uncultured Chitinophaga sp. Its description in RNAcentral is "bacterial SSU rRNA". It matches the Rfam family "Bacterial small subunit ribosomal RNA", at positions 94 to 803 of the family's 1533-position model. The record is from RNAcentral. Lineage: Bacteria; Pseudomonadati; Bacteroidota; Chitinophagia; Chitinophagales; Chitinophagaceae.